This 218-nucleotide long non-coding RNA is filed under the name Elaeis guineensis (African oil palm). RNAcentral describes it as "long non-coding RNA (EGUI_LNC003948)". Lineage: Eukaryota; Viridiplantae; Streptophyta; Magnoliopsida; Arecales; Arecaceae. The record is from RNAcentral.
UAGAGAUGGAGCUAUAUGUUGUCACAUUGGAACUUGGUAGGCUAUUUGGUUCUAAAUUUCUAGGCCGCUAGACCUCGAUCUGACAAGCUGUUAGGACUAGAGAUCUACCUGCUAACUUGUGCACCAAGAUUUUUAGUCAUGAGUGUCAGUUACAAAUCAGGCCCACAUUUAAUUAGGAGAUUCUAAGGAUCUCUCACAUGAUUGAAUAGUCCAAUAUC